RNAcentral lists this ribosomal RNA (232 nucleotides) under uncultured bacterium. RNAcentral's name for it is "partial 16S ribosomal RNA". It matches the Rfam family "Bacterial small subunit ribosomal RNA", at positions 118 to 351 of the family's 1533-position model. The record is from RNAcentral.
UGAGCAAUCUGCCCUUCUCUUUGGAAUAAGCGUUGGAAACGACGUCUAAUACCGGAUAUGACCAUUGGUUGCAUGACUGGUGGUGGAAAGCUUUUGCGGUGUGGGAUGGGCCCGCGGCCUAUCAGCUUGUUGGUGGGGUUAAGGCCUACCAAGGCGACGACGGGUAGCCGGCCUGAGAGGGUGACCGGCCACACUGGGACUGAGACACGGCCCAGACUCCUACGGGAGGCAG